AGCGAACGCUGGCGGCAGGCCUAACACAUGCAAGUCGAACGAACUCUCCGGAGUUAGUGGCGGACGGGGGGGUAACACGUGGGAACGUGCCUUUUGGUUCGGAAUACUUCAGGGUAAGUUGUCCUAAUACCAAUUGUGCUCUUCCGGGGUAAGAUCUACCGCCAUUUGAGCGGCGCGGGUCUGAUUCGGUAGUUGGUGAGGUAACGGCGCACCAAGGCGACGUUCAGUAGCUGGUGUGAGAGGAAGCCCAGCCAGACUGGAACUGAGACACGGCCCAGACUCCUACGGGAGGCAGCAGUGGGGAAUCUUGCGCAAGGGGCGAAAGCGUGACGCAGCCAUGCCGCGUGAAUGAUGAAGGUCUUAGGAUUGUAAAAUUCUUUCACCGGGGACGAUAAUGACGGUACCCGGAGAAGAAGCCCCGGCUAACUUCGUG
RNAcentral lists this ribosomal RNA (433 nucleotides) under uncultured bacterium. RNAcentral's name for it is "partial 16S ribosomal RNA". It matches the Rfam family "Bacterial small subunit ribosomal RNA", at positions 29 to 507 of the family's 1533-position model. The record is from RNAcentral.